GUUCGUAGUGACUGCGGAGGAUCAUUAGUGAAUUUUAGGGUGCUCUCUCGCCUCUUCCUUAACUGGAGAGGUUGUAGAGGGGCCUGACCUCCACUUUCUACCCUGUGCACUAUUUCUAAAAAGACUUGGAAAAGCUUCGGCGGCUCCCUUGUCUUUUUAUAAUCAUUCAUAAACAUGAGUUGAAGAAUGUAACAAAAAUCAUAACAAAAAAAAACUUUCAACAACGGAUCUCUUGGCUCUCGCAUCGAUGAAGAACGCAGCGAAAUGUGAUAAGUAAUGUGAAUUGCAGAAUUCAGUGAAUCAUCGAAUCUUUGAACGCACCUUGCGCUCUCUGGUAUUCCGGAGAGCAUGUCUGUUUGAGUGUCAUGAACUCUUCAACCCGCCCUUUUCUUUAUGAUCAGGUGUCGGUGUUUGGAUUCUGAGCCCUGCUAUUAGCUUAGCUGGUUCGUAAAACAUGAGCAUUUCAAUUUUCAGAUCGGAUUGACUUGGCGUAAUAGACUAUUCGCUGAGGACACUCUUUACUGAGUGGCCGGUUAGAAAUAACGAAGAGCUUCCAACCCCUCUAGUCAAAACUUUUUAAGAUUAGACCUCAAAUCAGGCAGGAUUACCCGCUGAACUUAAGCAUAUCAAUAAGCGGAGGAAAAGAAACUAACAAGGAUUCCCCUAGUAACGGCGAGUGAAGCGGGAAGAGCUCAAAUUUGUAAUCUGGCACCCUCGGUGUCCGAGUUGUAAUCUCGAGAAGUGUUUUCCGCGCUAGACCGCAUACAAGUCUGUUGGAAUACAGCGUCAUGGUGGGUGAGAACCCCGUAACUGAUGCGGAUGCCUAGUGCUUUGUGAUACACUUUCGAAGAGUCGAGUUGUUUGGGAAUGCAGCUCAAAUUGGGUGGUAAAUUCCAUCUAAAGCUAAAUAUUGGCGAGAGACCGAUAGCGAACAAGUACCGUGAGGGAAAGAUGAAAAGCACUUUGGAAAGAGAGUUAACAGUACGUGAAAUUGUUGGAAGGGAAACGCUUGAAGUCAGACUUGCUAUUUGGAGUUCAGCCGCAAGGUGUAUUCUUCAGUUGGCAGGCCAGCAUCAGUUUUCGGGGGGUGGAA
This 1093-nucleotide ribosomal RNA is filed under the name Rhodotorula sp. DSM 101778. Its description in RNAcentral is "eukaryotic LSU rRNA". The stretch from base 585 to 1093 matches the Rfam family "Eukaryotic large subunit ribosomal RNA", at positions 1 to 521 of the family's 3401-position model. The record is from RNAcentral. Lineage: Eukaryota; Fungi; Basidiomycota; Microbotryomycetes; Sporidiobolales; Sporidiobolaceae.